Molecule: ribosomal RNA, 459 nt
Filed under: uncultured bacterium
Lineage: Bacteria
Description: partial 16S ribosomal RNA
Rfam family: Bacterial small subunit ribosomal RNA
Source: RNAcentral
CCUACGGGUGGCAGCAGUGAGGAAUAUUGGUCAAUUGACGCAAGUCUGAACCAGCCAUGCCGCGUGCAGGAUGACGGCUCUAUGAGUUGUAAACUGCUUUUGUACGAGGGUAAACCCCGAUACGUGUAUCGGGUUGAAAGUAUCGUACGAAUAAGGAUCGGCUAACUCCGUGCCAGCAGCCGCGGUAAUACGGAGGAUCCGAGCGUUAUCCGGAUUUAUUGGGUUUAAAGGGUGCGCAGGCGGAGGCACAAGUCAGCGGUAAAAUCGCGGGGCUCAACCCCGCUCCGCCGUUGAAACUGUGUCCCUUGAGUGCGCGAAGGGUAGGCGGAAUGCGUGGUGUAGCGGUGAAAUGCAUAGAUAUCACGCAGAACUCCGAUCGCGAAGGCAGCCUACCGGCGCGCAACUGACGCUCAUGCACGAAAGCGUGGGUAUCGAACAGGAUUAGAUACCCCAGUAGUC